AAAAAAGCAAUUAUAGAGAGAAAAGAGAUUGUACGGAAAAAUCAGAGAAUUGCCGGUUGGUGAAAGGCAUUUUUUUCAAAUCUUAAUACACUCUGUAGCUUAUUUGUUGAAUUUAGUAGGCAAAUACGGAAGCCACCGUUAACUGAGGCUAGAGGUUGUUGGACCUUAAAUGAGAGGUAAUUAUUAUUACAAAUCGGGUGGUACCGCGAAGUCAAGUCUUUCGUCCCUUUA
Molecule: non-coding RNA, 231 nt
Organism: Peptoniphilus lacrimalis DNF00528
Lineage: Bacteria; Bacillati; Bacillota; Tissierellia; Tissierellales; Peptoniphilaceae
Source: Rfam